GCUAACCAUAACCCAACCCAAUUUGACCUAGGCAACCGUAAUUUUAACCUAGCUCAACCCGACUCAAAGUUGAUUUCGAGUUGUGCAGUUGGGCUGGGUUUGGAGCCCUACUUCUGACUUUCUGAGUUCUCAGGACCCUUCCAUAUAAAUCACGUUAAAAUUAAGGCACGGUGGGAGAAGCGGCGACUAGAGUUAGAGGGGAUUUCAAGUUUGAAGUUUGGAACCCUAAAUCCCUUUUGUUAGAUGAAGGAAAACUCAGAAGACUCACAUGUGGCUAGGGUGAAGAUGAAGCAAAUAAAGCCAAUUUCAAUCUUCGGAAUGGGAGGCAUUGGGAAAUGAUAAUUUCUUAUAAAUGUAGUGGAACGCCUCGCGUCACACCUCCGCGUUUUAAAACAUUGGUUCGAUGAUGCAGUGGCAGUCAUUUUGGGUAAAGAUCAACCAUCACAGGUUCAUUGCUUGGGCUUUGGGGUGAACCCAAAGCGUGCUUUCAGAACUAAGGGGUCACAAAACACAACUAAUAGCUGCCUUGUGCGAUUCAAGGAGAGGUGGGUGAUCUUCAAGCAAAAGCAGCACGAUUGGAGUGAUAUUGAUUUGUGAUGAUCUUCAACGCCUCUUUGACCAUUGGGAAACACCAAAUAGCAAGGCAAAGUGUGAAAUGAUGACCGAAAUGAGGACACUGCUCACCUCCAUGAAAUGAUGGAAGAAAGAUGGCAAAACAAUAUUCCCCCACCUUCACCUAGGAGAGAGAACCUAUUCAAGAGGGCCCAUACAAAUUCCCAGGGGGUGUUUUAUGACCCUCGAGCGAGGGAGCUUGUUGUAACUAUUUUUUUAUAUUUACCCAUUUAAUCAUUUUUUUAUAUUGUUGUAGGCAAGGAAUAAAGCAUAUGUGGAUACAGGCAUAAUAGGGCAUCUUGGUCGAGCCCAUACGUGCCCAUGAUGCAAUGGCGGUAAUUUUGGGUAAAGAUCAUCCACCACGGGUUCAUUGCUUGGGCUUCGAGGUGAACCCAAAGCGUGCUUUUGGAACUAAGAGGUCCAAAAAAUACCACCAAUAGUGCAACCGCCUUGUGCAAUUCAGAGCUACAGAAAGAAAACCAAAUGCUUCAAAGAGAGGUGGGUGAUCUUUAAGCAAAAGUGGCACGAUUGGAGUAAUAUUGAUCGUGAUGAUCUUCAUGCCUCUUUGACCAUUGGGAAACACCUGAGAGCAAGGCUAAGUGUGAAAUGAUGACCGAAGUGAGAACACUGCCCACCUCCGUGAAAUGACAGAAGAAGGAAGGCAAAGCAAUAUGCCCCCACCUUCACCUAGGAGAGAGGACCUAUUCAAGAGGGCCCAUACAAAUUCCCGGGGGAGUUUUAUGACCCUCGAGCGAGGGAGCUUGUUGCAAUGAUGAAAGCAUAUGUGGAUACAGGCAUAUUAGGGCAUCUAAGUCGAGCCCAUUGGUGCCCAUGAUGCAGUGGUGGUGAUUUUGGGUAAAAAUCAUCCAUCAUGGGUUCAUUGCUUGGGCUUCGAGGUGAACCCAAAGUGUGCUUUUGGAACUAAGGGGUCUAAAAACACCACCAAUAGUACAACUGCCUUGUGUGAUUCAGAGCUGCAGAAAGAAAACCAAAUGCUUCGAGGAGAGGUGGGUGAUCUUCAAGCAAAAGUAGCACAAUUGGAGUUUGUGGUGGAGCAGUUGGCACACUGUCAGGGAAUGGAUGCCUUGUUUCCCACUCCCCCUUCGGUUCAGUCUUAUAGAUUAUCAACAAGAGAAGUUAUGGAAGCGUUUCCACCCAUCCCAAGGCCCCAGAUGGCUAGGACCAACAUCGGGUUCCUAGGAGAAAGCACUCUAUGAAUGCGAUACCCAGACAUUUGGAGUCCAAGAUGCACAACUAGAUGGACACUAUGGCUGAAGUUGUGCUGCACCCUAGCUUCCAGUAGCCACGAUCAAAGUCUUGCUUGCAGAUAUUUACAAGCCAGAUGAUAGAUACUAUUGUAACUUAUAUACCUUGAAAACUGAAGAAUGAGAACCCAAUCCAUGAUCCUUUCGUAACCACCUCAAACUCUGGAAGGGGGGGGGGGUUCUUCUCCUGUCAUUCUUCUCAUAAUAAAGCCCAAAUUGGAAGGGAAAAUUAGAAAAACAUUUUUUUGUUUGAUAUAUAUAUAUAUAUUUGGUGAUUGGUAACUAAUAGGAGAGAUGAAAAUGGUGCUUGUAAUAGACCUUUAUCAUUAAUUUGUUGAAUGCUGAGCUGAAGGCGCCUGAAGACGGUACCAAAUUAGCUCAUCAUCUGUCAAAUAUGGAAAAGAACAACCUUCCAUGUUGCAGCUGUGAUUUCCUUGGAGCAUAUGUGAUUUCCAUGGCCUCUAAUGUAUGUGUUAACCAUUGGUGUCAAAUUUUUUGGUUUUGUGGCUGGGAGAAAAC
Molecule: non-coding RNA, 2396 nt
Organism: Nelumbo nucifera (sacred lotus)
Lineage: Eukaryota; Viridiplantae; Streptophyta; Magnoliopsida; Proteales; Nelumbonaceae
Source: RefSeq, a predicted model, not a curated record